UGCUCCGCGGCGGCCGAGGCGGCGUAGGAGCUGCGGGACGCGGUGGCGGCCCUCGCCGUGCGCCGCGCCGCCGACGAGAAUGCGCUGCGGCGCCGCGCCGUCGCGCUGGACGCCGACGUCCGCCGCCUACAGGGCUCCCUCGCCCCCCUCGACCCCGCCACGCUCGACGAGGUCCGCGCCCCUCCCCCCUCCCUCUCUCCCUCUCCCUCUCUCUCUGCCUGA
This 222-nucleotide ribosomal RNA is filed under the name Triticum aestivum (bread wheat). RNAcentral's name for it is "partial small subunit ribosomal RNA". The record is from RNAcentral. Lineage: Eukaryota; Viridiplantae; Streptophyta; Magnoliopsida; Poales; Poaceae.